UGCACGAAUGGCGUAAUGAUGGCCAGGCUGUCUCCACCCGAGACUCAGUGAAAUUGAACUCGCUGUGAAGAUGCAGUGUACCCGCGGCAAGACGGAAAGACCCCGUGAACCUUUACUAUAGCUUGACACUGAACAUUGAGCCUUGAUGUGUAGGAUAGGUGGGAGGCUUUGAAGUGUGGACGCCAGUCUGCAUGGAGCCGACCUUGAAAUACCACCCUUUAAUGUUUGAUGUUCUAACGUUGACCCGUAAUCCGGGUUGCGGACAGUGUCUGGUGGGUAGUUUGACUGGGGCGGUCUCCUCCUAAAGAGUAACGGAGGAGCACGAAGGUUGGCUAAUCCUGGUCGGACAUCAGGAGGUUAGUGCAAUGGCAUAAGCCAGCUUGACUGCGAGCGUGACGGCGCGAGCAGGUGCGAAAGCAGGUCAUAGUGAUCCGGUGGUUCUGAAUGGAAGGGCCAUCGCUCAACGGAUAAAAGGUACUCCGGGGAUAACAGGCUGAUACCGCCCAAGAGUUCAUAUCGACGGCGGUGUUUGGCACCUCGAUGUCGGCUCAUCACAUCCUGGGGCUGAAGUAGGUCCCAAGGGUAUGGCUGUUCGCCAUUUAAAGUGGUACGCGAGCUGGGUUUAGAACGUCGUGAGACAGUUCGGUCCCUAUCUGCCGUGGGCGCUGGAGAACUGAGGGGGGCUGCUCCUAGUACGAGAGGACCGGAGUGGACGCAUCACUGGUGUUCGGGUUGUCAUGCCAAUGGCACUGCCCGGUAGCUAAAUGCGGAAGAGAUAAGUGCUGAAAGCAUCUAAGCACGAAACUUGCCCCGAGAUGAGUUCUCCCUGACUCCUUGAGAGUCCUGAAGGAACGUUGAAGACGACGACGUUGAUAGGCCGGGUGUGUAAGCGCAGCGAUGCGUUGAGCUAACCGGUACUAAUGAACCGUGAGG
RNAcentral lists this ribosomal RNA (933 nucleotides) under Escherichia coli. RNAcentral describes it as "partial 23S ribosomal RNA". It matches the Rfam family "Bacterial large subunit ribosomal RNA", at positions 1989 to 2916 of the family's 2925-position model. The record is from RNAcentral. Lineage: Bacteria; Pseudomonadati; Pseudomonadota; Gammaproteobacteria; Enterobacterales; Enterobacteriaceae.